GAUGAACGCUAGCGGCAGGCCUAAUACAUGCAAGUCGAACGGUAAGUUUUCUUCGGAAGACACGAGUGGCGCACGGGUGAGUAACGCGUACGCAAUCUACCUCUAUCAGGGGGAUACACACGGGAAACUGUGGAUAAUCCCGCAUACAAUUCAUUACUGGCAUCAGUGGUGGAUAAAAGCUACGGCGGAUAGAGAUGAGCGUGCGUCUGAUUAGCUAGUUGGUGAGGUAACGGCUCACCAAGGCGACGAUCAGUAGGGGGCGUGAGAGCGUGAUCCCCCCACACGGGUACUGAGACACGGACCCGACUCCUACGGGAGGCAGCAGUAAGGAAUAUUGGUCAAUGGGCGGAAGCCUGAACCAGCCAUGCCGCGUGCGGGAAGAAGGCCCUCCGGGUUGUAAACCGCUUUUGUCAGGGAAGAAUGGACGGGAUUUAUCCUGUUAGGGACGGUACCUGAAGAAUAAGCACCGGCUAACUCCGUG
This 481-nucleotide ribosomal RNA is filed under the name uncultured bacterium. Its description in RNAcentral is "bacterial SSU rRNA". It matches the Rfam family "Bacterial small subunit ribosomal RNA", at positions 28 to 507 of the family's 1533-position model. The record is from RNAcentral.